RNAcentral lists this ribosomal RNA (258 nucleotides) under uncultured Eubacteriales bacterium. RNAcentral describes it as "uncultured Clostridiales bacterium partial 16S ribosomal RNA". It matches the Rfam family "Bacterial small subunit ribosomal RNA", at positions 81 to 339 of the family's 1533-position model. Lineage: Bacteria; Bacillati; Bacillota; Clostridia; Eubacteriales. The record is from RNAcentral.
AUGUUUGUGACUGAGUGGCGGACGGGUGAGUAACGCGUGGGUAACCUGCCUUGCAGAGGGGGACAACAGUUGGAAACGGCUGCUAAUACCGCAUGACACAUAGGUGUCGCAUGGCACUUAUGUCAAAGAUUUAUCGCUGAAAGAUGGCCUCGCGUCUGAUUAGCUUGUUGGUGAGGUAACGGCUCACCAAGGCGACGAUCAGUAGCCGGCCUGAGAGGGUGAACGGCCACAUUGGGACUGAGACACGGCCCAAACUCC